AACGUAGGACGCAAGCGUUAUCCGGAGUUACUGGGCGUAAAGCGCGGGCAGGCGGCUCGAAACGUCUGAUGUGAAAUCUCCUCGCUCAACGGGGAGAGGCCAUUGGAAACGGUCGAGCUGGAGGGCAGUAGAGGUAGGCGGAAUUCCGGGUGGAGUGGUGAAAUGCGCAGAUAUCAGGAAGAACACCCGUGGCGAAGGCGGUUCUCUGGGACGGUACUGACGCUGAGGCGCGAAAGCGUGGGGAGCGAACAGG
RNAcentral lists this ribosomal RNA (253 nucleotides) under uncultured bacterium. RNAcentral's name for it is "partial 16S ribosomal RNA". It matches the Rfam family "Bacterial small subunit ribosomal RNA", at positions 524 to 776 of the family's 1533-position model. The record is from RNAcentral.